UUGUUCUCGUUUCGUAUUUAACUUCGGUAUUUGCAAUUUUAGAAUUUUCUUGUUGAUCUUUAGUCUGGUAUAUGACUGAACGUGUACUAAAUUAAUACUAAAUAACCAUCAAGAAUGUAAUUCUAAAUUUAGUGUAUAUAAAAUGUGUACGCCAGCAACCAAAUUCUAAAGUUUUUAUGUCAUAGGUCCACAACCCGAAACUCAAUUAUCUCCGAACGAUAGACUCCCGUAUAGUUUCUUAAUGAGGGUGCUACCAUACUCAUAACUCAUUUAGGGUGAGUCGUCCAGUGGUUGGUUGGCAUUUGUCCCGUAUGGAUUUUUAUUUCCAUCGAUGGCAGAAGACUUGGCCUGAUUGAAGUGAUUAUCAGUUGCUUAUGCGAUUACACCAAUCACUGGCACUGAAGGAUGAUAUGUUUCACUGUAAAUUGGGUACCUAAUGGGUGGUAUUAUUUUCUGCUAACUCAAUUAAUACACUGAUUGUUUUUUAAUAUUCAUCAGUUCAUCUCUCUGUGCGUUGAUCUCGAUAGGAAACGUGAUAAGCAACAGUGACCCUUAUAAGUGAAAUCUGAAUGGCAAUAACUCGGAACGCUUCGGAUUCAUUGAAUUAUCUGCGUCCGCUUCUGAACAAUGAUUCUCAAAUAUUUGAUAAUGUUUAACCUUUAGCCGCCAUCAGGCCGCAUGGAAACCGAAACGCGGGAUAAUAUGGUGUAUCAUCAGCCUACUCAUAUGUUCCUAUUCGCUAUGAAGUACGACCGCAUUACCGUAUUACACUAUUCGUUCACUUUAUCACGAUUAUGAGCUCCAUAAAUAAAUUAACACCACUUGAACCGAGAGCCCCCGUCUGCCAAAUUAUUGAAAUGAACAGAAAAACGGAAGCUUCCCAAAUCUAUGGCGAGUCUUGAGCUGGAUAUCAAAGAGAGAAAUCAUCAAGGACCUCAACCACCUCUAUGGAGGAAAUAAAGAGCAAAAAGGUAUGGACAACGCGUUCCCCUUAUCGGCAGAAUACGGAUUGAAUGAAGCUACGAAUCGAAAAAAAGUUUAAGAACAUCUGCCCUAGAGCAGUAAUCAGGGACGCGAGCCUUUUCCUUAUUGGACGUACGGACGAUAACCUCCCAAAAAUAAAUACCUUCGUAAAUUCAAAAA
Molecule: long non-coding RNA, 1143 nt
Organism: Bombyx mori (domestic silkworm)
Lineage: Eukaryota; Metazoa; Arthropoda; Insecta; Lepidoptera; Bombycidae
Exons: 3
Source: RefSeq, a predicted model, not a curated record